ACAGAGGGUGCGAGCGUUAAUCGGAAUUACUGGGCGUAAAGCGUGCGUAGACGGUUAUUUAAGUCGGAUGUGAAAGCCCCGGGCUUAACCUGGGAAUUGCAUCUGAUACUGUCUGACUAGAGUAUGCUAGAGGGAAGUGGAAUUCCAGGUGUAGCGGUGAAAUGCGUAGAUAUCUGGAGGAACACCAAUGGCGAAGGCAACUUCCUGGGGCAAUACUGACACUGAUGUGCGAAAGCGUGGGGAGCAAACAGGA
Molecule: ribosomal RNA, 253 nt
Filed under: uncultured prokaryote
Description: partial 16S ribosomal RNA
Rfam family: Bacterial small subunit ribosomal RNA
Source: RNAcentral